CUUCUUUAUCUUAUCAUUGACCUAAGCCUGGGCGUAUGAGGCUUUCUAACUUUGUUUUUAGUAAGGAAACUCUGUUUCUUUUCAACUCUGUUAGUGAUCUCGAAUCGAGCUUGAUACCUAGUGGGGAUUAUUGCGUUGGAUUGAUCAGUCGAUAAUCCCCUUAUGACUUCAGGAAGAGACAAAAGAUCAAUGUUUUAUGUGAAAAAAAGGGGUCUUUAAGAUCUCUUAAUCUGGCUGCUGGUGCGAGCUUCUAGCUUUCUAGAUGGGACUUUCUAAAUGAGUUGAUUCUCCUGCAAAUCCAGCCGAAAUGCUUU
This 314-nucleotide long non-coding RNA is filed under the name Gossypium barbadense (sea-island cotton). Its description in RNAcentral is "long non-coding RNA (GBAR_LNC001739)". The record is from RNAcentral. Lineage: Eukaryota; Viridiplantae; Streptophyta; Magnoliopsida; Malvales; Malvaceae.